CCUACGGGAGGCUGCAGUGGGGAAUAUUGGACAAUGGGGGCAACCCUGAUCCAGCCAUGCCGCGUGUGUGAAGAAGGCCCUCGGGUUGUAAAGCACUUUCAGUGAGGAAGAACGCCUGGUGGUUAAUACCCAUCAGGAAAGACAUCACUCACAGAAGAAGCACCGGCUAACUCCGUGCCAGCAGCCGCGGUAAUACGGAGGGUGCGAGCGUUAAUCGGAAUUACUGGGCGUAAAGCGCGCGUAGGUGGCUUGAUAAGCCGGUUGUGAAAGCCCCGGGCUCAACCUGGGAACGGCAUCCGGAACUGUCAAGCUAGAGUGCAGGAGAGGAAGGUAGAAUUCCCGGUGUAGCGGUGAAAUGCGUAGAGAUCGGGAGGAAUACCAGUGGCGAAGGCGGCCUUCUGGACUGACACUGACACUGAGGUGCGAAAGCGUGGGUAGCAAACAGGAUUAGAUACCCCAGUAGUC
This 465-nucleotide ribosomal RNA is filed under the name Vreelandella stevensii. RNAcentral describes it as "partial 16S ribosomal RNA". It matches the Rfam family "Bacterial small subunit ribosomal RNA", at positions 338 to 795 of the family's 1533-position model. Lineage: Bacteria; Pseudomonadati; Pseudomonadota; Gammaproteobacteria; Oceanospirillales; Halomonadaceae. The record is from RNAcentral.